AUAUGAUGUAUGGGACAAGUUAGAGCUGAAAGGGAUACCAGAAGAACCUCAAGAUAUCGAACCAUUUAAGGUAAUAGAUGAAAACUUGAUAUGUCAUUUUAGUCACAAGGAACAUUAUUUACAACUCAACGAGGAAGGUAUCAUAUCCGGUGGAAGCAUUCGUUGUGAAGCAUGUGUCUUACCUAUAUAUUCUCAAGCAUUCUAUAGCUGCGUGCAAUGCAAUUUCAUUCUCCAUAAAACAUGCGCUAAUCUUUCUAGAAAGAAACGACAUUUUUAUCAUGACAAACCAUUAACUUUAAUAUGUGGUGACAAGAUAGGGCGUUAUUGUAAAUUGUGUGAAAAAUAUUCUGAAGGUUUCAAGUAUACUGACUUUCAAUACUUCAGUAUUGAUGUUAAGUGUGCCACAAUUUCUGAAUCUAUCAUCCAUGAAAGUCAUCCAUGCACCUUGUACUACAAUAACAACACGUAUAUGGAAUGCGCUUCUUGCAAUAAACGGGACUGUCAAUUGUUUAGUUGCGAUGACUGCAGCUUUGGAAUAGAUAAAAGAUGUGCUACUUUGCCAAAAACAACACAACACUGGUACGAUGAACAUCUUAUAUUUUUAUGUUACAACAAAAACAAGAGAGGAGGAGAAUAUUGGUGUGAUAUAUGCGAGGAACAAAUAGAUACCAUGAUCUGGUUCUACACAUGUGAUAGUUGCUGUGUCACGUUCCAUACUGAAUGUGUUCUCGGCGACUUUUCACGUUUUAUGCCGGGACGGAUAGUCACAUGUAUAAAUUGGAGGAUCAAAGCGAUGCAAACCAGUCCGGGUUUCUUACCACGUUGUUACAUUUGUCAUACUCGACGCGCAGUUCCCUUUGUUUUAAACUUAUGUAAUCCCCAAAAUAAUGUUUUCAUCUGUUCUUUAGAAUGUUUACUCAGAAUCUUAUUACCUGAAGAUUUGUAUUUUCUUUUAUAUAGAGAUGUAAUAACAUUCAUAUCUACGAAACAAUGAAUAAAUACUGUGUGUGUGUGUGUGUUUUUUUUAUAGAUUUUUUUUCGUGAAGCCAUUUCUUACCCAACGGCCUUUCAAAGAAAUCUUGGGCUUACUGAACUGAAUCGACUCGUGUGUGUGUAAAAGAAUCAUUCAUCAUCAUCAGUCAAAGAAACACUAAUGGUAACUCUAGAUCCGUCCAAAUGUUCUCCAUACUAAAUUGAUCUCUUCUUCACUUAGGAUCUCCGUUUUUGUUGUUCCGGCGAGAAGGCGGCGAGUCUGAUUGCGGUGGCGAUGUAGCCGACUUUAUCGGUGUUCACACUGACGAUUGGCCUCGUCAUUACCGCUUUCUUCUUCAUCUAUGAAGCUACAUCAUCUAGGAAAAACUGUAGCCUCAAGGUUUGAGCUCGCGACUGCGGCAGUAGCAUCUGUUUUCUUGGGAUUUGGAUCGCUGUUUUUGCUACUUGCUAGUGGUGUUUAUGUCUGAUCCUUCGUCCUCAAUACUAUUCCCAACUAGACAGAACUAGUUUCAAUGAACAAAGAUAGAACGCGAUGAGACGAUGACGAUGGUAGGGCACUGUCAGGGAGAUAGAUUCACGGACCAACACGUGCUCUCUUCAGCUGCGUUAUACAAAAAAAAACUAUUAGUUCGAGAAAAAACGGAAGAAAUAAAAAAAGGAGAGUUAUUUGCAAAUAUACUCUCUUGUUUCACGA
Molecule: long non-coding RNA, 1687 nt
Organism: Brassica napus (rape)
Lineage: Eukaryota; Viridiplantae; Streptophyta; Magnoliopsida; Brassicales; Brassicaceae
Exons: 3
Source: RefSeq, a predicted model, not a curated record